CAGCCGCCGCGGUAAUACCGGCGGCCCGAGUGGCGGUCACUAUUAUUGGGCUUAAAGCGUCCGUAGCCGGGUUGGGAAGUCCUCCGGGAAAUCUGGCCGCUUAACGGUCAGAAUGCCGGAGGAUACUCCCAGCCUAGGGAGCGGGAGAGGCCGAGGGUAUUCCCGGGGUAGGGGUGAAAUCCUAUAAUCCCGGGAGGACCACCUGUGGCGAAGGCGCUCGGCUGGAACGCGUCCGACGGUGAGGGACGAAGGCCAGGGGAGCAAACCGGAUUAGAUACCCGGGUAGUCCUGGCUGUAAACGAUGCGGACUUUGUGUCGGACAAGCUAUGAGCUUGUCCGGUGCCGGAGGGAAACCGUUAAGUCCGCCGCCUGGGGAGUACGGCCGCAAGGCUGAAACUUAAAGGAAUUGGCGGG
RNAcentral lists this ribosomal RNA (414 nucleotides) under uncultured microorganism. RNAcentral's name for it is "bacterial SSU rRNA". It matches the Rfam family "Archaeal small subunit ribosomal RNA", at positions 459 to 872 of the family's 1478-position model. The record is from RNAcentral.